Molecule: unclassified non-coding RNA, 376 nt
Filed under: uncultured bacterium
Lineage: Bacteria
Description: contains 16S-23S intergenic spacer region
Source: RNAcentral
UCCGGUUUGUCACCGGCAGUCCCAUUAGAGUGCCCAACUGAAUGUGGCAACUAAUGGCAAGGGUUGCGCUCGUUGCGGGACUUAACCCAACAUCUCACGACACGAGCUGACGACAGCCAUGCAGCACCUGUGCAGCAGUCCCGAAGGAAAGCCCUAUUUCUAGAGCGGUCUACUGCAUGUCAAGUCUGGGUAAGGUUCUUCGCGUUGCAUCGAAUUAAACCACAUGCUCCACUGCUUGUGCGGGUCCCCGUCAAUUCUUUUGAGUUUUAGCCUUGCGGCCGUACUCCCCAGGCGGGGCGCUUAAUGCGUUAGCUACGGCACGGAUCCCGUGGAAGGAAACCCACACCUAGCGCCCACCGUUUACGGCGUGGACUAC